This 1347-nucleotide long non-coding RNA is filed under the name Homo sapiens (human). Its description in RNAcentral is "HSALNT0355909". The record is from RNAcentral. Lineage: Eukaryota; Metazoa; Chordata; Mammalia; Primates; Hominidae.
UUUAGGGAUCCUUGUCUGUUUCCUGUUCUAAUCUCAGGGGUACUCACUACAUGAUGAGUAACACAAGAGGAUGAGAUGAAUCACUGCACCAACGUAGUUUAAUUUUUAGUUUAAUUUUUGUGGUCAGUGCUUUACUGGCUUGGGAUUGGGAGAGCAAAGAAAUAAUGAAAUUUGAGGUUAGAGAAGCUCUGGCUUCCCAUUGAAGGUAUGAGAGGAAAAGAAACCUAAGAAAGAAAGAAGCUGGGCAAACAUGGCUCCAUGUACCCUGGGUUUUCUCUUACACUGGUCCUGCUUUGAGGAUGAACACACACAAGGGGUGAAUGCUUCCUGCUCGUUGGCUUUGCUGCUGGCUGGUAUAUGAGUAGCACUGGCUGAUGUAACAAACGUACACCAACGUUCCAGUGGCUUCCUACAAGAGUUCUAUUCUUCCUCAUGAAAAAUUUCAGACUACAUUCCUGGUUGUCAGGAAGCUCCCCUCCACAUGAUGACUCAGGGACUCAUUUUGUUCCUCAUGGCUCUGCCCUGUCUUGUGCAUGUUGUUGGUGAAGUUGAUAAAGGAACUUAGAAAGCCAUUUUCUGUGGAGGCAUAAUCCAAGUGAUGCCUAUCAUACCAGCUCCUAUUCCCUUGGUAGGAAUUUACUCACACAACCACCUCUAUUUUAGAGGGAAGCAGGGAGACUUAGUGUAACUGUAUGCCCAGAAAAGAAAGGUCAACUGAGGAUUUCAAGUAUCUACCAGUCUUAAGUGAAUAUAGAGAAUUCUAGGUGGAGAAAACUAAAGAAAACAGAGACAGAGGAACAAAGUAAGUGAAGGUUGCAGAGUACGGAAUGAAGGAGCUGGAAGUGGCAACGACAUUCUACACUAGAGGAGAGGAUGGGGUAGUUUCUCAAUGCAUGGAAAAUCUAUUCUCUCGGAAGACCUGGUGGUGCUGGAGGCUUGAAUUCUCUUCUGUCAGUAGCUACAGAAAAUCAAAGAAGGAAAUAUCAAACUGUGUUUUCAGGGCCACUGACUCUGUGACUUCCGCUGUCUGGCCUUCAUGAAGCCAGGCGGUCAAAUGGGACACACAGAAACUCGAAUCAGUGAGUCCUUCCUCCUGGCCUGAGGCCCCAGCUUGAUCCCACAACAGGGAAAAUUCUGGAGGUUUCUGUGUUGACCUGGGUGGUAGUUAUGCAGCGGUGUUCCCUUUGUGACAAUUCAUCAAACCAUUCACAUAAUGUGUUGCCUUUUCUGUAGGUAUUUUUUUCUUCAAUGAAUAGUUUAAUAAACACAAAAAAGAAAAUAUGGUCAUCUUAUCUUUGGACAGUCUCUCAAAUGUUUUAUAAUUAAUUAAAUUCUUUAACUUAUGUA